Molecule: ribosomal RNA, 253 nt
Filed under: uncultured bacterium
Lineage: Bacteria
Description: partial 16S ribosomal RNA
Rfam family: Bacterial small subunit ribosomal RNA
Source: RNAcentral
UACGAAGGGGGCUAGCGUUGUUCGGAUUUACUGGGCGUAAAGCGCACGUAGGCGGAUCGUUAAGUCGGGGGUGAAAUCCUGGAGCUCAACUCCAGAACUGCCUUCGAUACUGUCGAUCUCGAGUCCGGAAGAGGUGAGUGGAACUCCUAGUGUAGAGGUGGAAUUCGUAGAUAUUAGGAAGAACACCAGUGGCGAAGGCGGCUCACUGGUCCGGUACUGACGCUGAGGUGCGAAAGCGUGGGGAGCAAACAGG